CCUACGGGAGGCAGCAGUGAGGAAUAUUGGUCAAUGGACGCAAGUCUGAACCAGCCAUGCCGCGUGCAGGAAGACGGCUCUAUGAGUUGUAAACUGCUUUUGUACGAGGGUAAACGCAGAUACGCGUAUCUUUCUGAACGUAUCGUACGAAUAAGGAUCGGCUAACUCCGUGCCAGCAGCCGCGGUAAUACGGAGGAUUCAAGCGUUAUCCGGAUUUAUUGGGUUUAAAGGGUGCGUAGGCGGUCGGAUAAGUUAGAGGUGAAAUCCCGAGGCUCAACUUCGGAAUUGCCUCUGAUACUGUUCGGCUAGAGAGUAGUAGCGGUAGGCGGAAUGUAUGGUGUAGCGGUGAAAUGCUUAGAGAUCAUACAGAACACCGAUUGCGAAGGCAGCUUACCAAGCUACUUCUGACGUUGAGGCACGAAAGCGUGGGGAGCAAACAGGAUUAGAUACCCCAGUAGUC
This 460-nucleotide ribosomal RNA is filed under the name uncultured bacterium. Its description in RNAcentral is "partial 16S ribosomal RNA". It matches the Rfam family "Bacterial small subunit ribosomal RNA", at positions 338 to 795 of the family's 1533-position model. The record is from RNAcentral.